CAAAAAAUAAAAGAAAAAAGUUGCAUGACAUGAACAUUGAGUUCAAAAGCCUUAAUGGAUCUUUUGAAAUUUUCUUGGAACCCAAGACUUCACCAUUAGGUAACAAAUUUUUCAAGUGCCCUGCUAGAGAAGGUUUGAAGUUGAAAUCCCACUGAGGAUUCCUGCCAGGGAUGUAUUUUUCUUUUACUUUUCCUUAACUGAUAUCCUUCUAAAAGAGGAAGAAAAAAAGGAAGAGGGAAAAAAAUACAAAGGAAAACAAGACGUAAUGAUUUCCUUAUGACACAUGCUUGAAAAAUGCAACCUACAGACAGACAAGGCUACUUCCACUGUUUGGAAGCUGACAAAGAAAAUCCAAACAGAAGACUGAACUCUACAGUUAAGCCAAUGCAGAGGGCUGACAGUUGAAGUCUCUGCAUUCUGAACAACAGCUUACCCCUGCCCUGAAACACAUACUGUUAGAGAGG
Long non-coding RNA from Vidua chalybeata, 464 nucleotides. RefSeq lists it as uncharacterized. Lineage: Eukaryota; Metazoa; Chordata; Aves; Passeriformes; Viduidae. The transcript is spliced from 3 exons. The record is from RefSeq and is a predicted model, not a curated record.